CAAACAGCUCCGCCUCCAUAUACAGCUACACCAUCCACCGAUCUGGUGCAGCUCCGUCCUCUUCCGACAGUCACAGUUUGCUUCUUCCUGAAAUCUCUACAAAGAUGAUGUCUCCCUUCUUCGGUCUUGAGCUGCCAAACUGAAACAAGCCGCCACUACAGCUGAAUCAACAAACAUCAGCUGGUGGAUCACUGCUGUUCCUAAUGACAACAUCAAACUGCUGCCUGGUCAGGUGCUGGAAAUGAUUUGGCACAUCAUCCAAAGACUUCACAGAACAUCAUGAACAUGGUGAUACAGACUGCAGCGACUUGUGUCCUCCCUCAUCUCCUGCCGGCAUCCUCUUCCAGAAACCUGCACCUCCUCCUCAAUCACCAACAGCUACUGGAAGAAAAAUGCAGCACAAGGCCUCCACCUCAAGUGUUUUUGUCUUCCGCGUGCAGUCUCUGCCAAAAACCUGCACUUUGACCU
Long non-coding RNA from Scatophagus argus, 468 nucleotides. RefSeq lists it as uncharacterized. NCBI's taxonomy places the organism in Eukaryota, Metazoa, Chordata, Actinopteri, Scatophagidae. The transcript has 3 exons. The record is from RefSeq and is a predicted model, not a curated record.